RNAcentral lists this unclassified non-coding RNA (1175 nucleotides) under Hevea brasiliensis (rubber tree). The record is from RNAcentral. Lineage: Eukaryota; Viridiplantae; Streptophyta; Magnoliopsida; Malpighiales; Euphorbiaceae.
CCAGCAUCCAAAGCUAGCUUUCUCUGCAUAUAACAAAAAAAGACAUGAAUAAUUAAGACCCACAUGUCAAACUUCCAUCCUAAAAGCUGCCCUUCACCAGACUCAAACCCACAUGCAUGAAUACGCAAAAACAAGUAUAUAAUAUAUGUUGUCCAAAAUGAAGUUCCCGAGUCAUUUCAACUAUAUCAAAAUCUGAAUAAAUAUUUCAUGUCAUAAUUGGUGCAUAUGAUCAACCCAGUUUUAAUCAAACACUAACAAAGUCACUGACGCUACAAAUGUGUCGAUUUCCAAUAUACCAAUUUUAUAAACCAGAAAGAUAACACCAUGAUCAAAACAACUGAAUUCAUUUUAAAAAAAUAAGAAAAUGGGAUACGAAUACGAUGAAUGGAAAAUCAACACUGUCUCCUUUAGAAAAUAAAAAUCAGAUCGGACAGGUAAAAUAGGCGCCGAGCUUUGAAUCAUCACAGCUCAGCGAUACGACGACGCUUUUGAAGCAGAGGUCGACAGAGAAGGUCACUGCUAAAAGAACAACGAACAGGAAAUGAAACUCAUAAUCAAUGAGAAAAAGUACACUACACUACACAUAUGAAUAAUCUAAAGCCAAACACAAAAAGUCAAAAUCAGUGAAAGAAACGGCACCGUGUGAAGCCUCCGAGGACUAACUGGUACUGGGAAUUUGAUUACAAGAAGCUGGAAGCAACAAAUUUCAGCAGAGACCGUCGAGAAUUUCACCAAAACAAAAAGAAGCAAAGAAAAAAAUCGAAACGAUGGCGUCUAGAAUCGUCUCUCACUCUCCUCCGUCUAUUCCAAACACACGCAACAUUGACUCAAAUGCAAUGCAAACUACUCUGUUUCAAGGAAAAGAAAAAACCACCAACAAAACGACAACGUUUGCAACCCUUGCUUCAUCGUCCCAAAAAGAAAAGAAGGUAAGAGAAAGAGAGAGAAGAUAGAUUACUGGAAUCUGACGAGAAACUGUAGAGAAAGAGGGGAAGGAAGGAAAGAGAAGAAGGUGAAUUUAAGAAAAGAGAAUAUGGGAAUUGCCUGAAUGUGGCGUUUUUUUUUUUUUAAGUGGCGUUUUUUUUAGGUGACGUUUUGGUUGUGGUUGAAUUGAAAAGUUCCACACAAAAUGUUUUAAGGUCUAAACAAACCUAGAAAUUCGAGAGAGAAGAGAG